Molecule: non-coding RNA, 100 nt
Organism: Nicotiana attenuata
Lineage: Eukaryota; Viridiplantae; Streptophyta; Magnoliopsida; Solanales; Solanaceae
Source: Rfam
CUUUGUGCGGUGAUGAUACAAUUUGUGGACUAGAGUUUCUGAUCUGGGGUUUUUAACCCCUAAUGGUUGAAGACAAACCCUUGGCUGUCUGAGCACACUC